UCCGGCGACAGUCGGCGGCUCGGCGUCGAGGCUGUCCCGAACAGCCUCGGCGACGGCGUCUUCGAGAUGUGCCGACGGCUCAACGACCGUCACGUCGAGG
Molecule: transfer RNA, 100 nt
Filed under: Haloarcula sebkhae
Lineage: Archaea; Methanobacteriati; Methanobacteriota; Halobacteria; Halobacteriales; Haloarculaceae
Description: tRNA-Arg
Source: RNAcentral